This 401-nucleotide ribosomal RNA is filed under the name uncultured eukaryote. RNAcentral's name for it is "bacterial SSU rRNA". It matches the Rfam family "Eukaryotic small subunit ribosomal RNA", at positions 592 to 1000 of the family's 1831-position model. The record is from RNAcentral.
CAAUAGCGUAUAUUAAAGUUGUUGCGGUUAAAAAGCUCGUAGUUGGAUUUCUGUCGAGGACGGCCGGUCUUCACUAUGUGAAAGUAUCUGGUUCGGCCUUGGCAUCCUCGUGGGGAACGUAGCUGCGCUUGAUUGCGUGGUACGGAAUUCACGACUUUUACUUUGAGGAAAUUAGAGUGUUCACGGCAGGCAAUCGCCUUGAAUAUAUUAGCAUGGAAUAAUAGCAUCGGAUCAUCGUUCAGCUGUUGGUGUCUGGACGAGGAUAAAGGUGAACAGGGAUUGUUGGGGGCAUUCGUAUUUAACUGUCAGAGGUGAAAUUCUUGGAUUUGUUGAAGACGAGCUACUGCGAAAGCAUUUGCCAAAGAUGUUCUCAUUGAUCAAGAACGAAAGUUAGGUGAUCG